Molecule: ribosomal RNA, 520 nt
Filed under: uncultured bacterium
Lineage: Bacteria
Description: bacterial SSU rRNA
Rfam family: Bacterial small subunit ribosomal RNA
Source: RNAcentral
UCCUACGGGAGGCAGCAGUGGGGGAUAUUGCACAAUGGGGGAAACCCUGAUGCAGCGACGCCGCGUGGAGGAAGAAGGUUUUCGGAUUGUAAACUCCUGUCGUUAGGGACGAUAAUGACGGUACCUAACAAGAAAGCACCGGCUAACUACGUGCCAGCAGCCGCGGUAAAACGUAGGGUGCAAGCGUUGUCCGGAAUUACUGGGUGUAAAGGGAGCGCAGGCGGGAAGACAAGUUGGAAGUGAAAACCAUGGGCUCAACCCAUGAAUUGCUUUCAAAACUGUUUUUCUUGAGUAGUGCAGAGGUAGAUGGAAUUCCCGGUGUAGCGGUGGAAUGCGUAGAUAUCGGGAGGAACACCAGUGGCGAAGGCGGUCUACUGGGCACCAACUGACGCUGAGGCUCGAAAGCAUGGGUAGCAAACAGGAUUAGAUACCCUGGUAGUCCAUGCCGUAAACGAUGAUUACUAGGUGUUGGGGGAUUGACCCCCUCAGUGCCGCAGUUAACACAAUAAGUAAUCCACCA